CUAGCUGGUCUGAGAGGAUGACCAGCCACACUGGAACUGAGACACGGUCCAGACUCCUACGGGAGGCAGCAGUGGGGAAUAUUGCACAAUGGGCGCAAGCCUGAUGCAGCCAUGCCGCGUGUAUGAAGAAGGCCUUCGGGUUGUAAAGUACUUUCAGCGGGGAGGAAGGGAGUAAAGUUAAUACCUUUGCUCAUUGACGUUACCCGCAGAAGAAGCACCGGCUAACUCCGUGCCAGCAGCCGCGGUAAUACGGAGGGUGCAAGCGUUAAUCGGAAUUACUGGGCGUAAAGCGCACGCAGGCGGUUUGUUAAGUCAGAUGUGAAAUCCCCGGGCUCAACCUGGGAACUGCAUCUGAUACUGGCAAGCUUGAGUCUCGUAGAGGGGGGUAGAAUUCCAGGUGUAGCGGUGAAAUGCGUAGAGAUCUGGAGGAAUACCGGUGGCGAAGGCGGCC
RNAcentral lists this ribosomal RNA (451 nucleotides) under Escherichia coli. RNAcentral's name for it is "bacterial SSU rRNA". It matches the Rfam family "Bacterial small subunit ribosomal RNA", at positions 283 to 726 of the family's 1533-position model. The record is from RNAcentral. Lineage: Bacteria; Pseudomonadati; Pseudomonadota; Gammaproteobacteria; Enterobacterales; Enterobacteriaceae.